RNAcentral lists this ribosomal RNA (506 nucleotides) under uncultured bacterium. Its description in RNAcentral is "partial 16S ribosomal RNA". It matches the Rfam family "Bacterial small subunit ribosomal RNA", at positions 30 to 523 of the family's 1533-position model. The record is from RNAcentral.
AUUGAACGCUGGCGGCAGGCCUAACACAUGCAAGUCGAACGGUAGCACAGAGGAGCUUGCUCCUUGGGUGACGAGUGGCGGACGGGUGAGUAAUGUCUGGGAAACUGCCCGAUGGAGGGGGAUAACUACUGGAAACGGUAGCUAAUACCGCAUAACGUCUUCGGACCAAAGUGGGGGACCUUCGGGCCUCACACCAUCGGAUGUGCCCAGAUGGGAUUAGCUAGUAGGUGGGGUAAUGGCUCACCUAGGCGACGAUCCCUAGCUGGUCUGAGAGGAUGACCAGCCACACUGGAACUGGGACACGGUCCAGACUCCUACGGGAGGCAGCAGUGGGGAAUAUUGCACAAUGGGCGCAAGCCUGAUGCAGCCAUGCCGCGUGUAUGAAGAAGGCCUUCGGGUUGUAAAGUACUUUCAGCGGGGAGGAAGGCGUUAAGGUUAAUAACCUUGGCGAUUGACGUUACCCGCAGAAGAAGCACCGGCUAACUCCGUGCCAGCAGCCGCUGUAA